GUGGUUGUUUCAGCAGCACCUGAACUAAAGUUGAAAUGAUAAGCAGAUUAGCAUGGCCCUUGUGUAAGGAUGACACAUUGGUGAAACGUUCUGCAUUUAG
This is a small nuclear RNA of Ictidomys tridecemlineatus (thirteen-lined ground squirrel), 100 nucleotides long. The record is from Ensembl. NCBI's taxonomy places the organism in Eukaryota, Metazoa, Chordata, Mammalia, Rodentia, Sciuridae.